This 72-nucleotide transfer RNA is filed under the name Uromyces viciae-fabae. Its description in RNAcentral is "tRNA-Sup (CTA) (tRNA-Sup-CTA-20-1)". It matches the Rfam family "tRNA". From Rfam's summary of the family: Transfer RNA (tRNA) molecules are approximately 80 nucleotides in length. Their secondary structure includes four short double-helical elements and three loops (D, anti-codon, and T loops). The record is from RNAcentral. Lineage: Eukaryota; Fungi; Basidiomycota; Pucciniomycetes; Pucciniales; Pucciniaceae.
GCGUCUGUAGCCUAGUUGGUAAAGGCAGCACUCUAGAUGCUGAGGUCAUGGGUUCAACUUCCAUCAGACACA